GGGGCUGUAGCUCAGCUGGGAGAGCGCCUCGUUCGCAACGAGGAGGCCACCGGUUCGAUCCCGGUCAGCUCCACCA
This 76-nucleotide transfer RNA is filed under the name Acidobacteriota bacterium. RNAcentral describes it as "Acidobacteria bacterium tRNA-Ala". It matches the Rfam family "tRNA". Rfam says of the family: Transfer RNA (tRNA) molecules are approximately 80 nucleotides in length. Lineage: Bacteria; Pseudomonadati; Acidobacteriota. The record is from RNAcentral. RNAcentral also lists the same sequence under 3 other names.